This 492-nucleotide ribosomal RNA is filed under the name uncultured bacterium. RNAcentral's name for it is "partial 16S ribosomal RNA". It matches the Rfam family "Bacterial small subunit ribosomal RNA", at positions 29 to 507 of the family's 1533-position model. The record is from RNAcentral.
AGUGAACGCUGGCGGUAGGCCUAACACAUGCAAGUCGAACGGCAGCACAGUAAGAGCUUGCUCUUACGGGUGGCGAGUGGCGGACGGGUGAGGAAUACAUCGGAAUCUACUUUUUCGUGGGGGAUAACGUAGGGAAACUUACGCUAAUACCGCAUACGACCUACGGGUGAAAGCAGGGGAUCUUCGGACCUUGCGCGAUUGAAUGAGCCGAUGUCGGAUUAGCUAGUUGGCGGGGUAAAGGCCCACCAAGGCGACGAUCCGUAGCUGGUCUGAGAGGAUGAUCAGCCACACUGGAACUGAGACACGGUCCAGACUCCUACAGGAGGCAGCAGUGGGGAAUAUUGGACAAUGGGCGCAAGCCUGAUCCAGCCAUACCGCGUGGGUGAAGAAGGCCUUCGGGUUGUAAAGCCCUUUUGUUGGGAAAGAAAGGCAGCAGGUUAAUACCCCGCUGUUCUGACGGUACCCAAAGAAUAAGCACCGGCUAACUUCGUG